This 384-nucleotide long non-coding RNA is filed under the name Brachypodium distachyon (stiff brome). RNAcentral's name for it is "long non-coding RNA (BDIS_LNC005638)". Lineage: Eukaryota; Viridiplantae; Streptophyta; Magnoliopsida; Poales; Poaceae. The record is from RNAcentral.
GGCCGCGGGCGGGCGCGCGAGUGGUGGGCCGGUUCGGCCCAAUUCGGCCGAGCCGGUCCGUCUUCCCCCCCUUUUUUUUUCUUUUAGCCUUUUCUUUUUCUCUUUUUCUCAUUUCUUUGAUAACUUUUAAUUUUGAACUCCAAAUUGGUCCAAAUAAAUUCCAGAAAAUUUGUAAAAUCAUUUUUAUCAUGAUACAACUUUUGGGAGUAAUUUCCCCUCAAAAUUAAAUAUAUAAAAUUACAUUUGCCCUAUAAAUGCCUUUAGGGCUAUAUAACUAUUUCAAUAAAAUACUUUUUCAACUCCAAAUAAUUAUCCAAAAAUUAUGGAAUAGCUCAUUUAUGCAAUAAACCCUUUUUAUAAAUAAACCUUCUGUCGCAUCAGUGG